AGUUCGAUCAUGGCUCAGAUUGAACGCUGGCGGGAUGCUUUACACAUGCAAGUCGAACGGCGGCACGGACUUCGGUCUGGUGGCGAGUGGCGAACAGGUGAGUAAUGUAUCGGAACGUGCCUAUUGUGAGGAUAACUACGCCGAAAGCGUAGCUAAUACCACGCUACGCCCUUCGGGGGAAAGCGAGACCUUCGAACUCGCACUAUUAGAGCGGCCGAUAUCGGAUUAGCUAGUUGGUGGGGUAACGGCUCACCAAGGCGACGAUCCGUAGCUGGUUUGAGAGGACGACCAACCACACUGGGACUGAGACACGGCCCCAGACUCCUACGGGGAGGCAGCAGUGAAAUUUUGGACAAUGGGGAAACCCUGAUCCAGCCAUCCCGCGUGUGCGAUGAAGGCCUUCGGGUUGUAAAGCACUUUUGGCAGGAAAGAAACGGCACGGGAUAAUACCCCGUGCAACUGACGGUACCUGCAGAAUAAGCACCGGCUAACUACGUGCCAGCAGCCGCGGUAAUACGUAAGUGCAAGCGUUAAUCGGAAUUACUGGGCGUAAAGCGUGCGCAGGCGGUUCGGAAAAGAAAGAUGUGAAAUCCCAGAGCUUAACUUUGGAACUGCAUUUUAACUACCGAGCUAGAGUGUGUCAGAGGGAGGUGGAAUUCCGCGUGUAGCAGUGAAAUGCGUAGAUAUGCGGAGGAACACCGAUGGCGAAGGCAGCCUCCUGGGAUAACACUGACGCUCAUGCGAAAAGCGUGGGAGCAAAACAGGAUUAGAUACCCUGGUAGUCCACGCCUAAACGAUGUCAACUAGCUGUUGGGGCCUUCGGGCCUUGGUAGCCCGCAGCUAACGCGUGAAGUUGACCGCCUGGGAGUACGGUCGCAAGAUUAAAACUCAAAGGAAUUGACGGGGACCCGCACAAGCGGUGGAUGAUGUGGAUUAAUUCGAUGCAACGCGAAAAACCUUACCUACCCUUGACAUGUCUGGAAUCCCGAAGAGAUUUGGGAGUGCUCGCAAGAGAACCGAGACACAGGUGCUGCAUGGCUGUCGUCAGCUCGUGUCGUGAGAUGUUGGGUUAAGUCCGCAACGAGCGCAACCCUUGUCAUUAGUUGCUACGAAGGGCACUCUAAUGAGACUGCCGGUGACAAACCGGAGGAAGGUGGGGAUGACGUCAAGUCCUCAUGGCCCUUAUGGGUAGGGCUUCACACGUCAUACAAUGGUCGGGACAGAGGGUCGCCAACCCGCGAGGGGGAGCCAAUCCCAGAAACCCGAUCGUAGUCCGGAUCGCAGUCUGCAACUCGACUGCGUGAAGUCGGAAUCGCUAGUAAUCGCGGAUCAGCAUGUCGCGGUGAAUACGUUGGGUCUUGUACACACCGCCCGUCACACCAUGGGAGUGGGUUUUACCAGAAGUAGUUAGCCUAACCGUAAGGAGGGCGAUUACCACGAUAAGGAUUCAUGACUGGGGUGAAGUCGUAACAAGGUAG
This 1478-nucleotide ribosomal RNA is filed under the name uncultured Bordetella sp. Its description in RNAcentral is "partial 16S-23S ribosomal RNA intergenic spacer". It matches the Rfam family "Bacterial small subunit ribosomal RNA". Lineage: Bacteria; Pseudomonadati; Pseudomonadota; Betaproteobacteria; Burkholderiales; Alcaligenaceae. The record is from RNAcentral.